RNAcentral lists this ribosomal RNA (253 nucleotides) under uncultured bacterium. RNAcentral describes it as "partial 16S ribosomal RNA". It matches the Rfam family "Bacterial small subunit ribosomal RNA", at positions 524 to 776 of the family's 1533-position model. The record is from RNAcentral.
GACGAACCGUGCGAACGUUAUUCGGAAUCACUGGGCUUAAAGGGCGCGUAGGCGGGCGGCCGAGUCCGGGGUGAAAGCCCCCAGCUCAACUGGGGAAGUGCCUCGGAUACCGGCCGUCUCGAGGGGGAUAGGGGCGUGCGGAACUUCCGGUGGAGCGGUGAAAUGCGUAGAUAUCGGAAGGAACACCAGUGGCGAAGGCGGCUACCUGGACCGGUUCUGACGCUGAGGCGCGAAAGCGUGGGUAGCAAACAGG